Non-coding RNA from Stegastes partitus (bicolor damselfish), 499 nucleotides. The record is from the annotation of a RefSeq genome assembly. Lineage: Eukaryota; Metazoa; Chordata; Actinopteri; Pomacentridae.
UUUACAGGAUGCAGCGGUCAGGUGACUGUGACUCAACCUCCAGUCAAGACAGUUACUCCAGGAUCCACUGUCACUCUGACCUGUAAGACCAGUCAGGAUGUUGCCUCGUGCACUCAUGGUUCGUGUAUGUUCUGGUAUCAACAGAAAUCUGGACAGACUCCGAAACUCCUUGUAAGACAUGUGAGCAUCAGUCAUUCAGGAACUCCAGCUCGGUUUAGUGGCAGUGGAAGCGGCUCUGACUUCACUUUGACCAUCAGUGGAGUUCAGGCUGAAGAUGCAGCAGUUUAUUACUGUAAGAGUUUUCAUGUCAUAAACAGUGCCUGUGUGUUGACACAGUGAUUUAUGGUCGUACAAAAACCUCCUCAGUCAGACUGCAGAGACUCUGAGCUGUUACAGCAGGAAGCGACUGCAGCUGCUGAAGAGGAAGAAACUCUGACACAGACCACUGAACACAGAGCUGACAGGAACCUCACCAAGCACAAACUAGAACACAUUAACG